RNAcentral lists this ribosomal RNA (448 nucleotides) under uncultured bacterium. Its description in RNAcentral is "bacterial SSU rRNA". It matches the Rfam family "Bacterial small subunit ribosomal RNA", at positions 329 to 794 of the family's 1533-position model. The record is from RNAcentral.
UGCCAGACUCCUACGGGAGGCAGCAGUGGGGAAUAUUGCACAAUGGGGGAAACCCUGAUGCAGCAACGCCGCGUGAGUGAAGAAGUAUUUCGAUAUGUAAAGCUCUAUCAGCAGGGAAGAAGAUGACGGUACCUGAGUAAGAAGCCCCGGCUAACUACGUGCCAGCAGCCGCGGUAAUACGUAUGGUGCGAGCGUUGUCCGGAUUUACUGGGCGUGGAGGGGGCGCAGGCGGCGCGCCAAGCCCGAUGUGAAAGCCCGGGGCUCAACCCCGGGACUGCAUUGGGAACUGGCGUGCUGGAGUGCCGGAGGGGCAGGCGGAAUUCCUGGUGUAGCGGUGAAAUGCGUAGAUAUCAGGAGGAACACCGGUGGCGAAGGCGGCCUGCUGGACGGAUACUGACGCUGAGGCCCGAAAGCGUGGGGAGCGAACAGGAUUAGAUACCCCGGUAUC